UACAGAGGGGGCAAGCGUUGUUCGGAAUUACUGGGCGUAAAGGGCGCGUAGGCGGCCUUCUAAGUCGAACGUGAAAUCCCUGGGCUCAACCCGGGAACUGCGUCCGAUACUGGAAGGCUUGAAUCCGGGAGAGGGAUGUGGAAUUCCAGGUGUAGCGGUGAAAUGCGUAGAUAUCUGGAGGAACACCGGUGGCGAAGGCGACAUCCUGGACCGGUAUUGACGCUGAGGCGCGAAAGCCAGGGGAGCAAACGGG
RNAcentral lists this ribosomal RNA (253 nucleotides) under uncultured bacterium. RNAcentral describes it as "partial 16S ribosomal RNA". It matches the Rfam family "Bacterial small subunit ribosomal RNA", at positions 524 to 776 of the family's 1533-position model. The record is from RNAcentral.